Molecule: unclassified non-coding RNA, 85 nt
Filed under: Acartia pacifica
Lineage: Eukaryota; Metazoa; Arthropoda; Copepoda; Calanoida; Acartiidae
Description: partial trans-spliced leader sequence
Source: RNAcentral
UGCUUGAUUCACUUCUACAAGGCUAAUAUUGCUUGAUUCACUUCUACAGACCAAGCUAAUAUUGCUUGAUUCACUUCAUUAAGAG